AACUGAGUUACAUUUUGAAAUAGGAGACAAGGUCUUCCUAAAGGUAUCUCCUACCAAGGGGAUAACUAGGUUUGGUGUCAAGGGAAAACUUAGGCCCCGAUUUGUAGGACCUUAUGAGAUUUUGGAGAGAAUAGGCCCAGUAGCCUAUAGGUUGGCGUUACCGCCAAGCUUUGGAAACGUUCACAAUGUUUUCCACGUAUCACAACUCAGAAAAUACGUUUUCGAUCCAAAGCACAUAAUCCACCAAGAAGAGAUCAUCAUUUGCCCAGACUUGAGCUAUGAAGAGAGACCAGAGGUCAUUCUAGAUCGAAAAGUACAACAACUCAGGAAUAAGGCAAUCACAUCAGUGAAAGUCUUAUGGAGACACCACGGACAAGAGGAAGCCACGUGGGAGCUUGAAGACAAAAUGAAGGAGAAAUACCCCGAACUGUUUUAGAAGAAAUAUGCAAAUUUCGGGACGAAAUUUUUGUUAAGAGGGGUAGUAUGUAGUGACCCGCUCUUUUAUAUAUUUUAAAUCCAGUAAUGAGUGUUUAUUUUUGUUCAUCAGUGAAUGAAAACGGUUUUUAUCCUAAUAUGAAUUCAGCUUAUGAUCCUGAAUUUAUAUUGUUAAAGCAGUUAAUGAUAUUAUUUCAGAGUUAUAACUGACUUAGCAAAGUCACGUUAUUUAUUUAAGCGAGAUGAAAUUUGAUUUUAUUUUUACUCAGAUCGUGAAUUAUUUCCGACUCAGGAAGUUAAUUAAAUCUGCGGAUUUAAUUUAGAUAUCAGAACAACGAACGAAUUAAAUCUACGGAUUUAAUUUAGAUUCAUUUUAUAAUUUAUCGGUUUUAGUGAGAAAUCACAUGUCGAAAUACGAGAUUUAUUUAAAUAAACAGUAUCAAGCAUAUACGAGCACACGAUCCAUCUUACAGUUACAGAAUCACCGAGACAGAGAAAAUACAUCAAUAAUUCUCCUCUACAUUUUUUUUUCCUUUCUUUUUCUUCUCUUUUUCUUUCCAUUAAUUUUGUUCCCCACUCCAUCAACUCCACUACCCUAUGCUCCCCACCAUCUCCACUACCUUUGCUCCCCAUCAACUCCAACACUUCACCCAUUCCUUCCAUUUCGCACCAGCAAUCACAAAGAGAAGGAAGACUUGGCUUAACUACUUUGCCAAGAUUUCAAGCUGCUCCAGUCCAGUAGUACCCCAACACUCGAAGCUAGAGUUUAUUGGGUGAAAAACCGUGCAUGAGGUCGAGCGCAAGAAUAAGAGCUCGUCAAGGAGUCACUAAUAUGUAGCAAAGCUUUGCUAUCAGGUUGAGCAACUGCCGAUGGUGAUGAAGUGACGAGCGGGACUCUUUUGUCUUAUUAUGUAUUAAUGAACUUUAGGGUUACAUGUCUUCAUACAUGUAAUCAGAACCUUAUUCCGCUGCGUACUCAGAAGUUUUAUGUUAUUUUGGAUAAGUCGGAGUUAUCCGAACUUGUUAGUUAUUUGAGUCUAUACGACAAAAACUCUGUUAUAUUAUAGAUAUCCAUGUUGUUAACAAUGAUGAAAUACGAUCCUUUCUUGUUUGAUUA
This is a long non-coding RNA of Salvia miltiorrhiza (redroot sage), 1552 nucleotides long. RefSeq lists it as uncharacterized. The transcript has 3 exons. The record is from RefSeq and is a predicted model, not a curated record. Lineage: Eukaryota; Viridiplantae; Streptophyta; Magnoliopsida; Lamiales; Lamiaceae.